RNAcentral lists this ribosomal RNA (501 nucleotides) under uncultured bacterium. RNAcentral describes it as "partial 16S ribosomal RNA". It matches the Rfam family "Bacterial small subunit ribosomal RNA", at positions 30 to 523 of the family's 1533-position model. The record is from RNAcentral.
AUUGAACGCUGGCGGCAGGCUUAACACAUGCAAGUCGAGCGGGGGAAGGUAGCUUGCUACCGGACCUAGCGGCGGACGGGUGAGUAAUGCUUAGGAAUCUGCCUAUUAGUGGGGGACAACAUCUCGAAAGGGAUGCUAAUACCGCAUACGUCCUACGGGAGAAAGCAGGGGAUCUUCGGACCUUGCGCUAAUAGAUGAGCCUAAGCCGGAUUAGCUAGUUGGUGGGGUAAAGGCCUACCAAGGCGACGAUCUGUAGCGGGUCUGAGAGGAUGAUCCGCCACACUGGGACUGAGACACGGCCCAGACUCCUACGGGAGGCAGCAGUGGGGAAUAUUGGACAAUGGGGGGAACCCUGAUCCAGCCAUGCCGCGUGUGUGAAGAAGGCCUUAUGGUUGUAAAGCACUUUAAGCGAGGAGGAGGCUACUCUAGUUAAUACCCAGGGAUAGUGGACGUUACUCGCAGAAUAAGCACCGGCUAACUCUGUGCCAGCCGCCGCGGUAA